RNAcentral lists this ribosomal RNA (250 nucleotides) under uncultured Actinomycetales bacterium. RNAcentral describes it as "partial 16S ribosomal RNA". It matches the Rfam family "Bacterial small subunit ribosomal RNA", at positions 82 to 334 of the family's 1533-position model. The record is from RNAcentral. Lineage: Bacteria; Bacillati; Actinomycetota; Actinomycetes; Actinomycetales.
CUGGAGUACUCGAGUGGCGAACGGGUGAGUAACACGUGGGUAAUCUGCCCUGCACUCUGGGAUAAGCCUGGGAAACUGGGUCUAAUACUGGAUAUGACCUUUCUCCUUAUGGGGUUUGGUGGAAAGUUUUUCGGUGUAGGAUGAGCCCGCGGCCUAUCAGCUUGUUGGUGGGGUGAUGGCCUACCAAGGCGACGACGGGUAGCCGGCCUGAGAGGGUGAUCGGCCACAUUGGGACUGAGAUACGGCCCGG